RNAcentral lists this long non-coding RNA (7260 nucleotides) under Glycine max (soybean). RNAcentral's name for it is "long non-coding RNA (GMAX_LNC002141)". The record is from RNAcentral. Lineage: Eukaryota; Viridiplantae; Streptophyta; Magnoliopsida; Fabales; Fabaceae.
UGUAUUCACAAGUAUUUAUGGCAGUAUUACUAUAGCUUUAUUUUGUGGAGCUUUCCACUAUAGAAGCCAACUGGCUGAGCCACUCAGGUAUAAAUGGCAUCUAUGAAGAGAGCAGCAGAGCACACUGACAUGGUACUACGGACCUAUGAUGUCUGUGAUGUUAGAUUUCAUCUUAAAACCAAUUGGCAUUAAGUGAAGUUGCACAACAGACAGAUAUAUAAGCUGCACUCCAAGGAUUGAGGCAGCCGAUGUGAGACUUGGGUAUUUUCCCAAUACACCCCUUUCACGCCCAGCACUUAUUGGGCUUGGUGCGUGAACCACAAAUCGUGGGUGCUUGUCGCAGCGGAGGCGAAUGCGAGGUCCCAGGGUUAGAGUCUGCUCUGAUACCAUGUUAGAUUUCAUCUUAAAACCAAUUGACAUUAAGUGAAGUUGCCCAACAAAUAUAUAAGCUACACUCCAAGAAUUGAGGCAGCCGAUGUGAGACUUGGGUAUUUUCCCAAUAUGUGAAAUAGAACUGAUGUAUGAAUAGAUGGUUACCUGAUGUUAUAGAUAGACAUGAAUAUUUUAUCUUGUUUUCUUACAUGGGUUUUAGACAACAUACAUUGACACAAAUACAACCAAGGAUUGUUCAAAUCAUUGAUAAAUUUAUAAAUUUCUGGUUUGCACCUAAAAUAUAUUGUGCAAGCUCUAUAUUGUGUUUUACAUGUUUUUUGUUUUGCUUAAAAUUGGGUGUUCGAUUUACAUCUCCUUUUAGCCGAUAAUGCUUUGCUUGGUUUAAAUGUUUUGGGUGUCAUGGUGUUUCCUUUGAUUUUAUUUAUUUAUUAUCAUGUAAUACAUAUUUUGAGGGUAGAGGUAGUGAGGUACUACUAUGGGACCUUACUUGAGCUUAGGAGAAGGAAUCCUCAUGCCAACAUAGGGAACUAGAACGUGCUUGUUUGGAUUCCAGUUGUAGUUGCGGUGGUGCACGUUUCGAGGUGAAACGCUGUUUGGAGGAUGCCACCGGAUUUUUUUUUUGCCCAUUAAAUUAUUAUUUUUUAAUCUCUAAUGUGAAGUAAGUCACGUGUAAUUUUUACUGUAAAUCGUGUUUUUGGUAAAUCUUUUGGGCAUUAUACACUAGUGGCAUCUAUGUGAUUUUAACUUUAAAUUAAUUUAAAUCAAAUGAGAAAAUUAAGUGUGGUGUAAUUUUAUUUGGUUUAAAUUAUUUAUAAAUUUGAACUAAAUUAAAUUAAUCUUUUGUAGUUUAAUUUGAUCAGAUUUUUACAAUUUAAAAAUUCUGUUAGUAAAUAUUAAAAAAUUGUUUAAAAAAUUUGUUAUUAAUUUGAUAAAACUUAAAUAAUACCUAGUUUAAUAAUCAAUGGUAUAAAUGGACAACAAAAGUUUGAACAAUUGAACUCAAAGUAAAACAAUAAUUAUUUUCAAGUUGAAUAAUAAUCAUUUAACUUAAAAGUAAAAGUAAUACAUAAUACUUACUUAUAAGUUUCAACAAUUGAACUUAAAAAAAGUAAUAAAACAACAUUCAUAGUACUUAUUUUCAACCAUGAAAACUUUGAAAGUAGAUAUCUAACACCAAAGCAAUAAUUGCAACAAUAGUUUCUAGGGGUGUUCGCAAUGCGGUUUAAUUUGGUUCGAUUUUUUAGCAUCAAACCACAAAUUGAAUCAAACCGCAUGGUUUGAAAAAUAAAAAAAUCAAACCAAAAUAAUGACCAUCAAUUUUGUUUCGAUUUUCAAUUUUUUAGGUCAAUUUUUUGUUAUUCUUGAUUUGAUUUGGUUUUGAACAUCUCUAUGAUACAAAUAGUUGUUUCUCAUUAAUGAAAAAAAUUGACGUGUUGAUUAGAAAUGACUAUCUAAAUAUAUAUAUAUAUAUAUCAAUAGGUAGUAAAAGGCAUUCUUUGAAUCUCUGAUUAUAUGUUGGUUUUAUUCCAAUUAAUUUUGAAUUAUAUUUUAGUUAAUCAAUUUUUGUGUUGCAUUAAGAAUUCAAUGUAAGCUUCAUUAUUUAUGAUGAAAAAGUUUAUUUAAAGAUCAAACUCAACAAUGAUGCAUACUUCGACGACCAAACAAAAACUUAAAAUUAGUCAUUACUCUAAUAGGAGGUCAACCAAUUAAGACCUAAGCAAUUCAACAAGUAAAUAUAAACUUAAGUGUGAUCCUCACUCUUGUUAGAGGUAAACCAAUCAAGACUUGAGUAAUUGAACAAGCAAAUAAAGUUCUAGGUGUUACUUUCAUUUCAACAAGAAUCUAUUAAGAGAAGUGAACAAAUCACAUCUAAGGAAACUUUUUCUUGUUUUUUUUUUUCCUUUUUUCUUUUUAAACUUGAGUUUGAUGGGUUGUGGACCAAUGUUAUAAUAAUCAUAUCAAUCAUCGCCUUGGUCAAUUAUUGGAAUUAAUGGUCACUAGUUGAACUAGUAAAUUAGUGGUUAAAUUUUGUGUGGAAUACAUGUAUGUAUGGCUAGUAAAAUGGUUUCUCCAUCAUUUUGUCUAUUGCUUUGUCUAAUAUUACAAGGAAUUUUUUCUUCUUCCAUUUUUAUUUUAUUUUUAUGAACACAAAUGAUUCAAUCAGUUAAAUAUGUGUCUAAGUCAUUAGUAUUUUAAAAAAACAACUAAGUUAUAUCAAUCCAUACUUCAAUUGAAUACACAACUUAUCUGUAAAGGUUCUUGGACUAAUUAUAUAAUUAAUUUUUAGUUUCAUCACCUCGUCAGAGUUGAGUUUUAUAAUAUUAUUAUGCAUCGUUUAAAGUUCUUAGUCCAUCAUGAGUCGAUCUUGUAUUAAGCCAACCUUAGAUGCAUUGUGGGUAUGAGCUCCACUUCAUAAGUUGACCUUGUAUUAUGCUAACCUAAAGUCCUUCAAAUUACUUGACAUUGUAAUAGGUGAACCUUAAAUCUAUCACAAGUCGAAUUUGUAUUAUUGGCCAACUACUUACCUUGGUAGACCUUAGGUCCUUUGCAGGUAAAGUUUUGAAUAGACUGACCUUGUAGGCUUGUACUAAUCACACAACACCUACUUAGGCUCGAAUACUUAUUUCCCAAAUAAAAAAUCACCCACAAAAUAUUCUUUCGAGCACAAUCUUCAUUUUUAAAAUUAUUAAAAAAUUAUAAACUUUAGAGUUGACCAUUUUUAAUAAAACUUACUAGUAAGUAGCAAUAAAGUGCAUAUUAUUUAAUUUAGUAACGUUUAUUCAAUUUUUUGAGGCCAUGAAAAAUCUGAGUAAUCAAUGAGGCGAGAUGUAACGUAGUAACGGGGAAAGAAAGAGCCAUUCUCCGUUGUCACUUUUCACUAUCACCCACUCCAAACCCUUCGUCGAUCUCAGAUCUUCCACAAUGACAACUCCGACGCCGCUGAAGGCCGUGACGCUAACCCACGUGCGCUACCAAAGAGGCGACGGCGUGGGCCAUUUCCUGGCCUGGAUAUCCCUCGUCCCCGUCUUCAUCUCUCUGGGUGGCUUCGUCUCGCACUUCAUCUUCCGCCGCGAGCUCCAAGGCAUCUUCUUCGCCCUCGGCCUUAUCGUCUCCCAAUUCAUCAACGAAGUCAUCAAAACCUCCGUCCAGCAAGCCCGCCCCGCCACCUGCGCGCUCCUCGAGAUGUGCGACUCUCACGGCUGGCCCUCCAGUCACUGCCAGUACAUGUUCUUCUUCGCCACCUAUCUCACCCUCCUCUCCCUCAGGGGCCUCUCCUUCUGGCACGUGCGCGAUAAUCCCCUCCUCCACGCCCUCACGUGGUCCCUCGCGGUUCUCACUAUGUAUUCUCGGGUUUACUUGGGCUACCAUACGGUUGCGCAGGUGUUCGCCGGAACCGCGCUUGGGGUUUUUCUCGGCGCGGUUUGGUUUUGGGUUGUGAACUCCGUUUUGCAUCCGUACUUUCCGAUUAUUGAAGAGAGCGCGUUUGGGAGGUGGUUUUACGUGAAGGACACUUCUCAUAUACCUAAUGUGUUGAAGUUUGAGUAUGAUAUGGCCAGGGCUGAGAGACGGAAGGUGGCGUUGAAUUCUAAGUCGGAUUGAUUGGUAUGUUUGAACCUGCUUCAUGUUUAGGUUCGUAUAAUGUGAUUGAUGCAAGUUCUUAGGAUAGUUUUUGGGAAUUGUAAAAUCAGAAAAUUUGGUUUGGAAAUGUUUGUAGAGGGAAAAUUGUGGUGGUCUUGUUCUGUGAAUGCUAAGUGCAUGUUUGGAUUGAUGUUAGAAAUGUUGUUUGUGGAUGGGUUCCAAUGCAAAUUCAACGGAUAAAAACAAAAACAAGGGUCCUGAUCCUCUGGCAAAAUUACUUUUGCCUCAAACGUACUUUUUCACCUGAAAACUGAACAUGAGAAAUCAGAGGGGAAACUUGUGUUUGAUUAUAAUAUAUCACCCUAUAUGAUUUGAUUCCAUCAUGUUUGUGCGUUCAUAAUGGAAUUAAAUUCAAAUACCUUCUUUCACAAGUCUCAAGUGGGUGAUAGUGGUGUUUUUAGUGAGUGAUAUAAAUGUGUGUGUGUGUGUUUUCUUUUUGUGUUGAUUUGUUUUUGUAGGAUUGACUGAUCUUGUGAAUGCUGUGUAGUGUGUACAUUUUAAUUGGAGUAACUUUUAGUUGUCUGGACUCUGGAAUGGUAGAGGAAGUACUUGCAAUUGUAUUAUGCUUGUUUUUGGUCUGAAUAGAUAUGUUUCUAGUUGGUUAAGUAUGAUGUGAUCUGUAAACUGAGUAAAUCAUGGAUUAAUGUACCAAACCUGACAAAAUGAGGCUUGCAAAUCUUGUGAACUGAAGCUCAAGAUUAUUUGGUUACAAUCAUUCUUUAUGUUUAGUAUUGUGACACUGCCACACUGGGACCUUCUUCACUUCAUGUUAGACUCCUUGUUGAAACUCACUCCAUUUAUGAUAUAUCCUGAGCAUGUUUCUUAUUCACAUUUGUGAUAUGUAGUUUGUUAAAUACUUGUUAUGGCAUUCUUAUGUAAGAUGGAUAAAUUCCAUUGCAUAAGAUAGGAAAUCCAAGUGGUGGCUCUCAAUAAUGUUUUGUAUGAUAAUUGACCCAAGAAUAGGCACUUAGUUAGUUAGAAACUUAGAAAAGACUUGAUAACACUACAUUACUGUUGAUAUCUGUAUCAACAGCUAAAAGCAUGGAUGUGACAUGUUGCAAGUGACAGAUAUGAUACCUGACAAAGGGAUGCAGCAACUUUCAAAAUUUUUAAGACAGCAUGACUAAAAUACAUCAUAUACAAGUAAGUAACAUGAAAAGUUAAUCUUAAAUCCAAAGAGGGAAUUUAUGUUUUAAGAGUGAACACAAGUAAUCACUGACAUUAUGGAAUGCUAUAUUUUAUUUAAGUGCUGUGGUAUUCUUAUUUGUGUUCAUAUAAAAGUUUAAAAAGAAAUUUAAAAUAAUGGUAAGAUGCAGUUAGUAAUAUUCAAAUGCACUUUUGGUUUAAAGGAGGAGAAUCGAGGAACUUUAUUUCAAGGGAGAAGCACCUUGUUUGUUUCACAAGGGAAAGGGGGAAGGGGGGGAUUUUAACCCCCUCCCCUUCCCAUCCAUUUCCCUCCAACUAAACACUGGAAAUGUUAGUGAAGUACCCCACACAGCUAUGACAUGGUUACUAUUUUGAAGUGUUUGUGCUUCCUUGAUUCAGCUAUUAGUUAGUUAGCUAGAACAGUGGACAAUACUAGAGGAGAGCUUUUAGAUUUCCUGUAGGGAUUGGGGGAAAGAGCCAGGACUCUCAAAUUUGCGAGGACUGUGGUAUACACUUGAGAUUCCUGUACUACUUGUACUAUAUACUAGAGUCUACAAUCACAUCUGGUUCAGAUUCAGGGAGAAGAGUGAUAUUGAUAAAGGUUAUUUUUUACUCUGUUUUUCUACUUUCCCCCUUCCAGUUCUAUAAUCUAUUCUAACAAGUCAUGAUCCGUGCAUACUGUCUUCCUUUCUAAUAUUAGCCUCAACUAUUCAAAGUCAGCAGCCUGUCCUAUUAACUAUGAUAGACUGCUGAUCAGACUGAAGUGCUGAAUUGAGGAGGCAUACAUAUUUCAGGGUUUAGAAUCUUGAUGGUGGCAUGUAAUUGUUUCUUAGCUUAGGCAAGUGUUACACCCUGGAGAAAAAAAGGGGUAAGGGAUUGUGGAGGUAUAUUUAGGUUGACUAUAAUAGUUAUUCUUUAUUCAAUGUUGUUCCUUCUGCACCACUUUCAUGGUAUUCAUGUUAAAACAUGGUUAAGAUAUCACCCAGGCUGCUCUUAAUAUUCAAUUCAUACGAAUAUAAGGAACCUGAUCUUCAGUGUGCUUAGUCUUAGGCUGAUACCGAAAGCCCAGUUUUAUUUUUUAUUGUAAUAUUUUGGGUUUUAGGUCUAUUUCCUUUCCGUUCUAUUUUCAUAUGGGUAAGUAAAGGCUUAUUUAUGUUCUAAUUUUUUAAGACGAUAAAAGAUGGUUGAUUCAGGGGAAAAUUUUAUCUGUAUUUGCCGCUACGAAAGAAAAUGUCAAUCUAUUCACAAAAAGUAUAUCUACAUUUAUCAAUUCUUCCACUUUCUCAUUUUUAGUAGGUUUUGAAAAGCUCAAGUUUGGAACAACCUAAGAAUUCUGUUAAUAAAGACUUUCUCGUUCAAGCAAGACAACAUAGAUAAAACAUCAAUUUUAUAUAUAUGCUAAUGCUAGUCCCACCCAGUGCCAUCCAUUUUAUUAUACUUUCUGGCCUAUAUAUCUCUGUUGUAAUAAUCCAUCCUGACAGCAGCAAUAGUUAUAGGAUUGCAAAAUUAUAUCUUCCUUUGAAUGCUAACUUGCCUGGACAUUUUCCUUUGGGAUUUGUUGUUUCCUCAACUAUUAUUGUCAUUAAUGUAUUCAUUUGAAGGCAUUGUGAGUCAUGUGCAUUGGGUCUGUUUAAUUUAAUAUUCACCAUAUUGAGUUUCUAAUAUAUGCAAACGGUGGAAAUAUAAAAUUAUAACUACAAGGUUCACAUAUGCUUUGGUAUGUUUUGGUGUAGCUGACCUUGCUCUUUUUCCGUUUUCCAGGCACAUUGCUUCGAAUUUUUCUUCUAGGAUUUGUAUUCACAAGUAUUUAUGGCAGUAUUACUAUAGCUUUAUUUUGUGGAGCUUUCCACUAUAGAAGCCAACUGGCUGAGCCACUCAGGUAUAAAUGGCAUCUAUGAAGAGAGCAGCAGAGCACACUGACAUGGUACUACGGACCUAUGAUGCCUGUGAAAUAGAACUGAUGUAUGAAUAGAUGGCUACCUGAUGUUAUAGAUAGACAUGAAUAUUUUAUCUUGUUUUCUUACAUGGGUUUUAGACAACAUACAUUGACACAAAUACAACCAAGGGAUUGUUCAAAUCAUU